RNAcentral lists this ribosomal RNA (253 nucleotides) under uncultured bacterium. RNAcentral describes it as "partial 16S ribosomal RNA". It matches the Rfam family "Bacterial small subunit ribosomal RNA", at positions 524 to 776 of the family's 1533-position model. The record is from RNAcentral.
UACGUAUGGUGCAAGCGUUAUCCGGAUUUACUGGGUGUAAAGGGAGCGUAGACGGAGAAGCAAGUCUGGAGUGAAAGCCCGGGGCUCAACCCCGGGACUGCUUUGGAAACUGUUAUUCUUGAGUGCCGGAGAGGUAAGCGGAAUUCCUAGUGUAGCGGUGAAAUGCGUAGAUAUUAGGAGGAACACCAGUGGCGAAGGCGGCUUACUGGACGGUAACUGACGUUGAGGCUCGAAAGCGUGGGGAGCAAACAGG